Pollicipes pollicipes is the source of this 183-nucleotide long non-coding RNA. RefSeq lists it as uncharacterized. The record is from RefSeq and is a predicted model, not a curated record. The transcript has 3 exons. NCBI's taxonomy places the organism in Eukaryota, Metazoa, Arthropoda, Thecostraca, Pollicipedomorpha, Pollicipedidae.
GACGGCCGUCGGCAAGAACCUUGUGUUGAGCAACCGCGAGAUCCGUCUGCUGAGAUACGUGGAGCUGACUGAUGAGCAGCGGGAGAAGCUGGAGAAGUCGUACAAGGUGGCCAAGAAGCUGGAGAGGCUGCAGCAGAAGCGCGAGGAUGGAGAGGCUCAGGCCGAGGAGUCGGAGACGUCGCU